AAGUCGUAACAAGGUUUCCGUAGGUGAACCUGCGGAAGGAUCAUUAAAACGCGUCCACGUAUCAAAACCCCUCUGUGCAAACCUUCUUUGUAGGCUUUGAUUGGAGUUGUGCUUGCUCGAUCUUAAUGAUGGGAGUUUCAAAGAGAUUCGGGAUCUAUGAGCGGGAUCAGCGUGUGACAAUCAGCCGCUAUUCUCCUUUUAAUUUAACCCCUUGUACUUUUUAAUACUGAACCAAUUCUGUUUCGGCUUCGCGCUGAUACGAACGAUAUUACGAAACUAAAGAACAACUCCUAGCAACGGAUAUCUUGGUCCCC
RNAcentral lists this unclassified non-coding RNA (314 nucleotides) under fungal sp. Its description in RNAcentral is "partial internal transcribed spacer region". The stretch from base 1 to 46 matches the Rfam family "Eukaryotic small subunit ribosomal RNA", at positions 1786 to 1831 of the family's 1831-position model. The record is from RNAcentral. Lineage: Eukaryota; Fungi.